GGGCACAUGGUGUAGUUGGUUAUCACGCUCGCUUUGCACUGACAGUUGCGAGUGGUCCCCGGUUCAAUUCCGGGUGUGUCCA
Molecule: non-coding RNA, 82 nt
Organism: Lyophyllum atratum
Lineage: Eukaryota; Fungi; Basidiomycota; Agaricomycetes; Agaricales; Lyophyllaceae
Source: the annotation of a GenBank genome assembly